GACGAACGCUGGCGGCGUGCCUAAUACAUGCAAGUUGAGCGCUGAAGGUUGGUACUUGUACCAACUGGAUGAGCAGCAAACGGGUGAGUAACGCGUGGGGAAUCUGCCUUAGAGCGGGGGACAACAUUUGGAAACGAAUGCUAAUACCGCAUAAAAACUUUAAACACAAGUUUUAAGUUUGAAAGAUGCAAUUGCAUCACUCAAAGAUGAUCCCGCGUUGUAUUAGCUAGUUGGUGAGGUAAAGGCUCACCAAGGCGAUGAUACAUAGCCGACCUGAGAGGGUGAUCGGCCACAUUGGGACUGAGACACGGCCCAAACUCCUACGGGAGGCAGCAGUAGGGAAUCUUCGGCAAUGGACGAAAGUCUGACCGAGCAACGCCGCGUGAGUGAAGAAGGUUUUCGGAUCGUAAAACUCUGUUGGUAGAGAAGAACGUUGGUGAGAGUGGAAAGCUCAUCAAGUGACGGUAACUACCCAGAAAGGGACGGCUAACUACGUG
RNAcentral lists this ribosomal RNA (497 nucleotides) under uncultured bacterium. RNAcentral describes it as "partial 16S ribosomal RNA". It matches the Rfam family "Bacterial small subunit ribosomal RNA", at positions 28 to 507 of the family's 1533-position model. The record is from RNAcentral.